UUCGCCCUUAGAGUUUGAUCCUGGCUCAGGAUGAACGCUGGCGGCGUGCCUAACACAUGCAAGUCGAGCGAGAAAUUUAUGGACGAUAUUUCGAUUGAGUUUGUAAAUGGAAAGCGGCGGACGGGUGAGUAACGCGUAGGUAACCUGCACCAUACAGAGGGAUAGCCACUGGAAACGGUGAUUAAUACCUCAUAAAACUGAGAAUACACAUGUAUGCUCAGCCAAAGAUUUAUCGGUGUGGGAUGGACCCGCGUCUGAUUAGUUAGUUGGUGAGGUAACGGCUCACCAAGGCGACGAUCAGUAGCCGACCUGAGAGGGUGAUCGGCCACAUUGGAACUGAGACACGGUCCAAACUCCUACGGGAGGCAGCAGUGGGGAAUAUUGCACAAUGGGCGAAAGCCUGACCCAGCAACGCCGCGUGAAGGAAGAAGGCUUUCGGGUUGUAAACUUCUUUUAAGAGGGAAGAGCAGAAGACGGUACCUCUUGAAUAAGCCACGGCUAACUACGUGCCAGCAGCCGCGGUAAUACGUAGGUGGCAAGCGUUGUCCGGAUUUACUGGGUGUAAAGGGCGUGUAGCCGGGUUGACAAGUCAGAUGUGAAAUCCGGGGGCUUAACCCCCGAACUGCAUUUGAAACUGUUGAUCUUGAGUAUCGGAGAGGCAGGCGGAAUUCCUAGUGUAGCGGUGAAAUGCGUAGAUAUUAGGAGGAACACCAGUGGCGAAGGCGGCCUGCUGGACGACAACUGACGGUGAGGCGCGAAAGCGUGGGGAGCAAACAGGAUUAGAUACCCUGGUAGUCCACGCUGUAAACGAUGGAUACUAGGUGUGCGGGGACUGACCCCCUGCGUGCCGCAGCUAACGCAAUAAGUAUCCCACCUGGGGAGUACGAUCGCAAGGUUGAAACUCAAAGGAAUUGACGGGGGCCCGCACAAGCGGUGGAUUAUGUGGUUUAAUUCGAUGCAACGCGAAGAACCUUACCAGGGCUUGACAUCCUGCUAACGAGGUAGAGAUACGUCAGGUGCCCUUCGGGGAAAGCAGAGACAGGUGGUGCAUGGUUGUCGUCAGCUCGUGUCGUGAGAUGUUGGGUUAAGUCCCGCAACGAGCGCAACCCUUAUUGUUAGUUGCUACGCAAGAGCACUCUAGCGAGACUGCCGUUGACAAAACGGAGGAAGGUGGGGACGACGUCAAAUCAUCAUGCCCCUUAUGUCCUGGGCUACACACGUAAUACAAUGGCGGUCAACAGAGGGAUGCAAAACCGUGAGGUGGAGCGAACCCCUAAAAGCCGUCCCAGUUCAGAUCGCAGUCUGCAACCCGACUGCGUGAAGUCGGAAUCGCUAGUAAUCGCGGAUCAGCAUGCCGCGGUGAAUACGUUCCCCGGCCUUGCACACACCGCCCGUCA
RNAcentral lists this ribosomal RNA (1397 nucleotides) under uncultured bacterium. RNAcentral describes it as "16S ribosomal RNA". It matches the Rfam family "Bacterial small subunit ribosomal RNA". The record is from RNAcentral.